AUGCUGUUAAACCUGACUUUAUGGAAAGGUUGUAUUUAUUAGAUAUUAAACCAGCAGCUUCGGCUUCUGUGAUGAUUCAUAAUAACUGAUCGGAGAUAAGCCAGUCUUAUCUAAAUCAAUCAAGUUUCUGCCCUAUCACUUUGUUGGUAGUGUAUUGGACUACCAAGAGGAUCACGGGUACGAGGAAUUAGGGUUUGAUAUCGGAGAGGCAGCCUGAGAAACGGCUACCACUUCUAAGGAAGGCAGCAGGAGCGUAAAUUACCCAAUCUCAAUUCGAGGAGGUAGUGACAAGAAAUAAUAACUCGGGCGGUAUCUACCGUUACGAGAUUAAAAUGAGGACAAUUUAAAAAACUUAUCGAGGAACAAUGAGAGGACAAGUCUGGUGCCAGCACCCGCGGUAAUUCCAGCUCUUAUAGUGUAUAUUUAAGUUGUUGCAGUUAAAAAGUUCGUAGUCGAUCAUCUAGUGCCCGGCGCUAUGGUUAACUCCUUGGCGUUCGAGUGCUAUCUGUUCGAGAACUUCAUCUGCCUUAACCGGCCGGUGAUGCUGAUCGGACUCUUUCCUGAGAAAAAAUUAGAGUGUUCAAAGCAGGCUAUUGCCGUGAAUAUCACAGCUUGGAAUAAUAGAAUAAGACUGAAGUCUCUUUUGUUGGUUAUGAACUUUAGUAAUGGUUAAUAGAAACAGUCGGGGGUAUUAGUAUUUAAUUGUCAGAGGUGAAAUUCUAUGAUUUAUUAAAGACUAACUUAUGCGAAAGCAUUUGCCAAGGAUGUUUUCAAUUGAUCAAGAACGAAAGUUAGGGGAUCGAAGACGAUCAGAUACCGUCCUAGUCUUAACUAUAAACGAUUCCGACCAUGGAUCGGAAAGGUCUUUCAAGCCUUUUCGGCACAUUAUGAGAAAUCAAAGUCUUUGGGUUCCGGGGGAAGUAUGGACACAAGUCUGAAACUUAAAGGAAUUGACGGAAGGGUACACCAGAUGUGGAUUUUGCGGCUUAAUUUGACCCAACACGGGGAAACUUACUAGGGCAAGACUAAGGUUGGAUUGACAGUAUGAGAGCACUUUCUUGAUUCUUAGGGUGGUGGUGCAUGGCCGUUCUUAGUUGGUGGAGUGAUUUGUCUGGUUAAUUCCGUUAACGAACGAGACCUUAACCUGCUAAACUAGGAGUAGGAUGAUCAAUCUUAUUUCCUUCUUAGAGGGAC
This 1194-nucleotide ribosomal RNA is filed under the name metagenome. RNAcentral describes it as "bacterial SSU rRNA". It matches the Rfam family "Eukaryotic small subunit ribosomal RNA", at positions 171 to 1420 of the family's 1831-position model. The record is from RNAcentral.